CGUGGGUGAAGAAGGCCUUCGGGUUGUAAAGCCCUUUUGUUGGGAAAGAAAAGCAGUCGGUUAUACCCGAUUGUUCUGACGGUACCCAAAGAAUAAGCACCGGCUAACUUCGCGCCAGCAGCCGCGGUAAUACGAAGGGUGCAAGCGUUACUCGGAAUUACUGGGCGUAAAGCGUGCGUAGGUGGUGGUUUAAGUCUGUUGUGAAAGCCCUGGGCUCAACCUGGGAAUUGCAGUGGAUACUGGGUCACUAGAGUGUGGUAGAGGGUAGCGGAAUUCCCGGUGUAGCAGUGAAAUGCGUAGAGAUCGGGAGGAACAUCCGUGGCGAAGGCGGCUACCUGGACCAACACUGACACUGAGGCGCGAAAGCGUGGGGAGCAAACAGGAUUAGAUACCCUGGUAGUCCACGCCC
RNAcentral lists this ribosomal RNA (409 nucleotides) under Xanthomonas campestris. RNAcentral describes it as "bacterial SSU rRNA". It matches the Rfam family "Bacterial small subunit ribosomal RNA", at positions 400 to 802 of the family's 1533-position model. Lineage: Bacteria; Pseudomonadati; Pseudomonadota; Gammaproteobacteria; Lysobacterales; Lysobacteraceae. The record is from RNAcentral.